Molecule: long non-coding RNA, 1252 nt
Filed under: Equus caballus (horse)
Lineage: Eukaryota; Metazoa; Chordata; Mammalia; Perissodactyla; Equidae
Description: lncRNA (ENSECAG00000057535.1)
Source: RNAcentral
CAGAAUCGGGAAGCCAGCGAGCACACUGGAAGGCUGAGUGGUGGCAGUGGUGGUGAUGGGGUGUUGGGCUCAGCCAUCAGAGGUUGGGGUGGUGGAAGGUACAGGAGAUGGGGUGUAGGAGAGAGAGGAAGAGAGUCAUCUAUCAACACCUCAUUGUCGUCUGAAUCCAUCAGGGCAGGCAGGUCACUGACAUCUACACCUUUUAUGUCUGCCUGCCUCCAUGUCCAAGGUCAAGGUUCAUCAUCUGCUGUGGUUGAUGUGGCUGAUGCAAAAGCUUGAAAUAUGACGGUAUGCUUGACUGCUUAACCUUAUAACGCUUUGAUACAAAACAAACGCUGAACGCUAUUUUCGCUUUUCUCCUUUUUCUGUAAAAGCAAAAAUCCUCUUCGAAUUUCUUUCAUUUAGCAAAAACAGGCACUAAUGUAGGUCUCUAGUAAAAGCAAAGUGGCGUAAAGUGAACUUUCAGACAGCAGGGGAAACCUGUAUUUAACUACCUUCUCUCAGCCCCUACAUCCCACACAUUCUCCUCCAUAAAAUCAGCUAGAAUUCUCCGCGUGGGAAGGAAGGGAGAUGGGGAGGAAGAGAGACUCGCACCUGAGAAGCCAUAUCAGAAUAUCAAUAGCACGUGUGGCAGUUUCCCAUCAUGUGAUUCUGAUCAAGCAUCCCCGCCACGGGUUGACUCCCAGCCUCCUGCUGAGAGUGUCCCUGUCACAGAGGUUUAUUCCAGUGGAGGAUUUGGACAUUCAGAGAUUUAGCUGAAAUGCAUGUGAAUAGAUUACUACUAAGAGAUUUACCUUGAAAUAUUUUGAGAGUAACUCUCCUGAGAUGCUGAAAACACUUCAACCUCGACAUUUCGGUAAAAAGAGCCUCUAGGUCCAUUGGUUCAACAUCAGGUUCUGCUGCUAUGAUCGACUUGCUGGCUCAACUCUGCAUUAUUGCCACUCUGGGACCCUGAGCUUCACAGACUCCUUCCUGAUCGCUGAGCAAUCUCACAGAUGUGGCCCAGCGUCCAAGAUGACAUUUGGACUGCUGAAGCUGACGAGGACAAAAAGAGAAACGAGGGUGGGGAAGAGAGAGAGAGGCAAGAAGAUUUUGGAGCAGACAAAUGACAAAAUAUAAGGCGUUCUUCAGUAAAAUUCACAUGGCAACAGCCUGUAGAUGGACAGGAGUGGGAAGACAUGAACUGAGGAAGCAAGUGAGAAGACGUGGUCUAAGUGAGAUGAUGCGCUCUUCCUUUUGAUUCCCUGGCGCC